CUCGAAGGGAGUACCGGGUCGUGACAUAAUGAUAUUGUGCAUGAUUAGAAUUGUUAGAGAAUACCCUAUAGGGAUGACUGUGAUAUACCUUUAUUGUUGGAGAUGAUUGCUAGAAUGUUUAAAUGGCAUCUAAAAUGCAUUAUACAUACAUAUAUUUAUCCGCACAAUUAUAUUUGAGUUAAUUGUUCCCACUCAUUGAGUAUUAGAGGGCUCACUCAUUCAUUU
RNAcentral lists this long non-coding RNA (225 nucleotides) under Theobroma cacao (cacao). RNAcentral's name for it is "long non-coding RNA (TCAC_LNC001920)". The record is from RNAcentral. Lineage: Eukaryota; Viridiplantae; Streptophyta; Magnoliopsida; Malvales; Malvaceae.